AUGGAAACCGCUUCUUCUCCAGCAUCAGCGGUAAGAGCAGCAGCCCUUGGUUCUGGGGGAGGGCAGCAAGAUGACUCAGAGAUGUCGAAGGUGCGGGAGAUUCCAUUGGUGUCAACCAGCGGGCUCCCCAAUGGCAGGAGGAUUGUAGGCUUGUUGUACGAGUACAGUAAAGUUGAUGAGGUGACGAUUUUGUGUAUGUGCCAUGGUAGCUUCCUAACUCCGGCGGAGUUUGUGGAGCAUGCUGGAGGUGGUCAAGUCGCCAACCCACUGAGAAGCAUCUUCGUCAUGCCCCCGCCUUGGCUUUGA
Molecule: ribosomal RNA, 306 nt
Filed under: Triticum aestivum (bread wheat)
Lineage: Eukaryota; Viridiplantae; Streptophyta; Magnoliopsida; Poales; Poaceae
Description: partial small subunit ribosomal RNA
Source: RNAcentral